Molecule: ribosomal RNA, 240 nt
Filed under: uncultured bacterium
Lineage: Bacteria
Description: partial 16S ribosomal RNA
Rfam family: Bacterial small subunit ribosomal RNA
Source: RNAcentral
GUGGAGGCAAAACUCAAAAAAAUAAGUCUCAGUUCGGAUUGAAGGCUGAAAUUCGCCUUCAUGAAGCCGGAAUUGCUAGUAAUGGCAGGUCAGCAUACUGCCGUGAAUACGUUCCCGGGCCUUGUACACACCGCCCGUCACACCAUGAGAGUUGGGAAUACCCGAAGCCUGUGAGCUAACUUUUAGAGGCAGCAGUCGAAGGUAGAAUCAAUGAUUGGGGUGAAGUCGUAACAAGGUAUC